GCCUGGGUGGCUCAGUUGGCUGAGCAUCUGUCUUCGGCUCAGAUCAUGAUCUCAGGGUUUAUGGGUUCGAGCCCCGCAUCAGGCU
This 85-nucleotide transfer RNA is filed under the name Felis catus (domestic cat). It matches the Rfam family "tRNA". From Rfam's summary of the family: Transfer RNA (tRNA) molecules are approximately 80 nucleotides in length. Their secondary structure includes four short double-helical elements and three loops (D, anti-codon, and T loops). Further hydrogen bonds mediate the characteristic L-shaped molecular structure. tRNAs have two regions of fundamental functional importance: the anti-codon, which is responsible for specific mRNA codon recognition, and the 3' end, to which the tRNAs corresponding amino acid is attached (by aminoacyl-tRNA synthetases). tRNAs cope with the degeneracy of the genetic code in two manners: having more than one tRNA (with a specific anti-codon) for a particular amino acid; and 'wobble' base-pairing, i.e. permitting non-standard base-pairing at the 3rd anti-codon position. RNAcentral also lists the same sequence under 1 other name. Lineage: Eukaryota; Metazoa; Chordata; Mammalia; Carnivora; Felidae. The record is from Rfam by way of RNAcentral.